RNAcentral lists this ribosomal RNA (272 nucleotides) under uncultured bacterium. RNAcentral's name for it is "partial 16S ribosomal RNA". It matches the Rfam family "Bacterial small subunit ribosomal RNA", at positions 84 to 354 of the family's 1533-position model. The record is from RNAcentral.
CCCGCCGGCGACCGGCGCACGGGUGAGUAACACGUAUGCAACCUGGCCGCCACAGGGGGAUAACCCACGGAAACGCGGCCUAAUACCCCGUGACGCCACCGGAGGGCAUCCUCCGGUGGCCAAAGGAGCGAUCCGGUGGCGGAUGGGCAUGCGGCGCAUUAGCUAGACGGCGGGGUGACGGCCCACCGUGGCGACGAUGCGUAGGGGUUCUGAGAGGAAGGCCCCCCACACUGGGACUGAGACACGGCCCAGACUCCUACGGGAGGCAGCAG